Chinchilla lanigera (long-tailed chinchilla) is the source of this 6668-nucleotide long non-coding RNA. RefSeq lists it as uncharacterized. NCBI's taxonomy places the organism in Eukaryota, Metazoa, Chordata, Mammalia, Rodentia, Chinchillidae. The record is from RefSeq and is a predicted model, not a curated record. The transcript has 6 exons.
AGCUGACUAUGGACUGAAACCUUUGCAAACUGUGAGGAAGCGACUCUGAAGUAAGCUCUGUCUUUGAGGCAACCAAAUGCAGCAGCCUCCUCUCCUGUGAGAUGCGCAGCACCGCUGCAAGUAGAAAAUUCUGCUCUUCACGUAACGGUCACUUGGUCCCACCAUUCCCAGGACCAGAAGAGAAAGCCCAGGGCCGGGGAACAGCGAUUUGCUGCAGUCAAGACAGUGGUAAGAAACCGGGCAGUUGCACCCAAAUCUGCUCUCUUCUGGGGAUAAAGAGAGUAUGUCGGGUCGUGUGCAGGCUGUUAGGGUCGUGAGGAUUCAUUCGGAAACAGCAGAAGGCCUUCUGGAAUUACAAGAAAUUCAAGGUGUGUUCAGAAAGGCCCUCAACAUACUCCAGCGUGAAUAGUCUUUUAAUUUGGUAAAGAAAUCCCUGAGUCUUAUUUGAUGGAAAACUGAUCGAUGAAAGAGGCCCAGUGUGAGAAUGCUUGACCGUCUCCCCGGAAAGCCCUAGGCCCUUCCGCCAUCACGUGCGGCGGGAGGUGUGGUCUGGAAGGCCAGUGUGCCUCGCAGCGAGGGGAGCUCAGCUGCCAGGCCGUGAAGGUCGCAGCCAACCUUUUGCCUCUGGAGCUGUGAAGUCGAAGUCACACCCGGCUGUUCACUGACGCCUGCCGGCUCUCUGCUCAGGCCGGCCGACACCGGUGCCAGCACAGUCGGCAGCGAGCUCUUAAACCGUCUCAGCGUUCUCCGUCAGCUUCCGCAGCAUCUUUGGGGACAUGUCCUCCGUGGACGUAUCUUGUAGAAGGCAAUUAAAAUAAACGAUAACACAUCCACUGAAAAGGCCGUUGAGCCUGAAGCACACACAGUCUUCCCCACCUCGCCCCGUACCUACGGGGACCGGGGACGGGAGCGGAAGGCGUCUGAGAGCCCACCGCGGAGCCGACCCUGCUCUCCUGACUGCCAGCUCAGUUAGCGCUCUCCUCUGGAGAGAGGGGCUGACCCUGCUGUACUCCGCGUGCUCCCUGAGGCAGUGUCACUAAUGAAGUCCUUCUCUAGGGGCCCGAGGCAGCCACGUGGGACAGCUUGUUAACACCCCCAAGCGUAGAGGGAGCCCUCACUUUCUCACAGUGGCCCUGUGCCCCUCAGGAGCCCGCUCUGCACACACGCAGCCCGAGCCCCGUGGGAGCUUAGUGGGGAAGCACUGGGAGCCCCACCUGCGGUGCCCGCGGGGUUCACCCCUCCCUGCAGCUGCCAGCCCCGCUGCCCAGCAUGGACCACUUCUGGGUGAGCUUUCUGUGUCUGGGGCCCCGUCCUGCACUGCGACCUCCAGGAGGUGCACUUCUCCCCCCAGGCUUGUUCUGGUUUCCCAGGGUAGCUCCAGUACUAUCUUCUGCUACGGUGAUAUCCACUAAGUGCACAGAAAGAUCCCUACAUUCAGAAUGAAAGUUGACAGUAGACAGUGUUUUGAAUUAAGAGAGAGGGGUUCAAGUUGGAAGCAGUGGUAUGCACCUUUAGUCCUAGCUACUCGGGAGGCUGAGGCAGGAGGAUCCCUGAGUCCAGAAAUUCAAGACCAGCCUGGACAACACAGCAAGAGCCCAUCUCAACAACAAAAGGUGGGGAAGGGAUAGCUGAAGAACAGAAUUUAAAAAGGAGAACACAGAAUCUGGACAUUCCCAGAAUGGAAUGUAGGGGCAGAGGGACAUAACCAAAAACCGAGGGGAAAACAUAGACGAGUAAUCUUGUUUAUCUGUGGCUGAUGACUGCAAGAUCCUCACGUAUCAUGCACCAUACGCUUGAGAAAAUGUACCCUGCUGUGUCCUUAUGAAGGUGUUACUCACAUUUACUUAUGCUGACCUGACCCCUUCCCAGAAACAAAGGCCAUGACACUGACUGGCAUAGGCCCCCAGUCAGUGAAACAGUUACUCUGCCUCCCACUGUACCAGCACUGACUCCCCCAUUUCUCGCUAAGAGCCCCACUUCUCAUCCUCCGCUGAGCUGAGGGCACAGACCUGAAGAGAGGUGAGGAUCUCUGAACGCCUCCUGCUGGAUGUGACAGCGGGAGAAACUCCCCCGCAGGGAGCUGGGCAGACCCCCUGUCCAGUCCCUCCCACUGAAUAGAGUGUGGCCUGUGUCACUGAAGUGUGGUGGCCUGGCUUGGCUACUCCCUCACCCUUUGAGCACCUGAGUUCAGUUCUCAUAAAUUAAGUGCAGGUUCCACACAAAUACUGAAGGUCUUUGCUGGAAUCUUCCCACUGUUAAGGUCAAGGAAACUCCUAAGUGUUCUGAUCACCUAAGUAAAUCAUACUUUUGAGCCUCCAGGGCCAACUUGGACGUUUCCUUCAGGAAACACAGUUACCAAUGACUUAAGCAAAGGGAGGACCAGGUAUGCAGAUAACAAUGUGGUUCCUGCUCAGGUCAGUUUUCUGCUCUUCCUACUAGCUGGUCAAAUCAAUGACGUGUGAACCUCGCUAUUUAUGUAUUUCCAGGGCUAUAAAAAUCAUGGCCAUGCAAAGGGAUGGAAAACACAUCCCUUGAAUGCCACAGCAAAAGCCUCACCUGCAAAACAAACAGAUACUCCAUUUUCCAAACUCCAGGUUAGCCCAGGCCGGGUGUCACACAGGGGCCAACUCUUCAGGUGGGGGAAGCCCUGCACAGGACCCACCGACAAUUGCUGAUUGAUUUAUUAGUGGGAGAAAUUUUGGAAUUGUGUUCUACUGUUGGGAUUUACUUGCAUUUGAAAGCGAUGCAGUUAGUAGUACAUCUUUCAACACUGAAUGUGUUUUCUCUGCUUUUAUAUCUUUCUGAUGAAUUAAGCGCUUGUGUAAGGUGAGGGAUUGAAAACAUUAGCAGUCAACUCUCUUCAGGGAUCUGCCUGCCAGAUACACUGCAUGGAAAGCAGAGAGACUGAGCCACACCGCUCCUCCAACCAAGUGCUACCAGCCAGGAGCCUCGGUGCCUCCCCAGUGCCGCAGUGGUUUCCAAAGGGAGCAGACGUAGGUGUACCAGAAGUCCUUGAAAUGAAGCCCUAAGGAUCCUGCGGCUCCCCUGCUCGUUCUCUGGCAUCCAGCCCCCACCCCCAGGCUUUUUAAAGAGAAUCAGCUCUGCACAAUCUGCUCCUCUCCUUUGCUCCUUUUGGUCCUCACAUCAACAUUUGCCAACGUAUUAGUAAAUCUUUAAGCACAGGUCAUUACUCCCCAGAGAGGAGCCACUGGGCAAGGGCCUGGAGACCCGAGCUGGACGUCAGCGGAAGGAGAGUGUGCAAGGCGUCCGGGGCAGUUGCUACUUGGGAGAAGCCAAACCAAGCUCAGGACAGUGAAUGUCGGUGCCACCUUCUUGGGGCUUUUUUUUUUGACUGGUUUUCCCGUGGAGCCACCCAACCUGUACCACUGCCCUGCAUCGUAGGUCGCGUUUGCCUACCGUGAGAGCAGCCUGCAUCAUCCCUUUUCCCUGGAUGCACAUAGCUCUUCGACAGGAAAUGCACUUUUCUAAUUGAGGGGCCCAGGCAACCAAUUAGCUAAGUGCUCCUCCAUGGCCCGCGCCUGGAAAACACAGUCAAGAGCCCAUUAAAAGCCCUUGACACAUUUUAGCACCCAAGCUAGAGAUGUCUCUGGCCAGGAUGAUGGCAGCUCUGCCGUAUGGAGCAGAGCAGUAAGAGUGGAAUUCGUUAUGGUCAGAUCCCUAUUCCUCAAGGGUCAUUUGUCAAAGCUGCAAAGAAGCCCUUGUCACUUUGCUCAUUUUCUUGAUCACAAAGACUCACCUGAACUGGUGUAUGCCCAGGGCCUAGAAAUCUCCACGCUGCCUGUUCAGCAGGCAGGCCACCGUCUGCUUCCUGUAGGGCUUUCUUUCUGGGCUGGAGGAAGGUCUGUUUACGCAGCUUCUCUGGCCCCUCACCUGCCCAGCAUCCUCCCUUCACGCCCAGGGCAGACCAUCAGCUGUGGUGUGGGCAGGAGCAAGACCCUCUUCGAAUCUGUGCCUUCUCCGAGGGCCACCCAUGGCCUAGGCCAGUGGUGGUGAACCUGUGGCACGCAUGCCGCAGCACGCUGUUUGUAUCACGGAAAGCGCGGAAAGGUUCGCCAUCGUUGGCCUAGGAGAUGGGGCAUGAAGGGAAAGAAAUCAGAAACAAGAAGUCUUCGUUCGUUUCACAGCUCGCCUUUCUCUGGGGCUUUGCAAGGCUUCCUCAGACAGAGAGCUUCUCGCCUGGUCCUGGAGCGCAUUACCCUCUAAAGCCUGAAUGGCCCUGGGGAAGAGUCGUGGCGCAGGAGACACCCAGGCAGACCUGGUUCUGAAUUCCAGCUCUGCCAGUCCUUAUCUAUGUUACCUGGGAGCUGACUCCCCUUUCUGGGUCCUUGUUCUCCUACUGCGGGUGGGGGACAAUUCCACUCUCAUCCGACGUCUCUGGGGGGAAGCCGGGCCCCUUGGCAGCCACUCCACAAGCGUGAUGGCGCUUCAGCUCCCGGCCGCCCCCUCAUAAUGCCUGGGGUUAUUUACCAGUGCCCAGAGGUCGCUAAGGCUGCUUCAUCUUUGGGUUUCCCACUCUUAACGUUAUUCAGACCCACAGAAAGCCCUCCGUGAAUACUGGUAGUAAAUCCAGGCUGUUUCAUUUUCUUAACAGUGGCUCCUAUAUCUCUCCUAAAAAUGAAAGCCUCCUGUUCUACUGUCCUCUUAAAGCUGAGGAGAGAUACGACAGGAACGGAACUGGAUAUGCAGUCUUGCCCCUCACUCUUGGCUCUGCGGGGCGGUGGAGGCUGCACCAUCAAGGUCCCUGCAGCCUGCAGUGUCCGCUGUCUGCCAGGGUUCUGGUGGACCCGCGAAGCAGUCUGUCCCGUUGUAAGCGCCUGGGACCGGGCUCUCAACAGACAUCUCACAGGCAAGUCCGGCCAGACGGGGCAGGCAGUUACAUCAUCAGAUCCUGCUGCAAGUAUCGUCCAGUCCACAUACUCUGGCUUUACAUGUGCAAAGAAGCACAUAAGCUUCUUCAUAAGCUUGGGCUCCGGCACCAGAAUGUUUCUGAACACAUGUGCACUUAAAUUGUUGGGGACCUGGAGAAGUAUUUCAGUCACAAUAAUCACUGCUAACUGGGAGAAGGAAGCAGGUGAGGGUGACUGCAGCCUAGGGGCACCCUCACUUGCUGAUCAUGCGCCUGAUUACAUAGGUGGUGCUCUCUUCAGCACAAAGGGAACCCCCAGUCUCUCUCUGACUCCACUAUGGGGCCAACCAAGCAAGAAACCCCUAGAACUGAGCCAGUCUAUGUGCUGUGUCCCUGCUGAUCCCCCGCGCCUCCCCAGUGCUCAGCCUGGUCUUUCUCACUGAGCUGUGUUGAAAGGCAGUUCUCCGCUAAGCAAAUACUGUUGGUCCGAAGCCAAGGCACUUGGAAGUGAGUUAAUCCUUUCUCCAUCAAAGUCCGCGACAGCAAUCUGGGUUUGCUUAACCACUUCGUGUUGGUAUCCAGUGCUUCUUCAUAAACACGAAGGGAAUCACCCACGUUGGCCAGGGUCCAGAGCGGUUGUCACAGCCAGGCGUGUGUUCACUCUGGCUUUCAACGGGUGGCUGCCUUGCGCCCAUCACACGAGAAGAAGGUGGUCCCUGUCCAGCAGAGGUGUGAAAGUUACUGCACUGAACUUGGGUAGCACCUAAUGUGUAUGGACGACCAGGCUAAGCUCUUUUCAGGCAGCCACUCCCUUAACUCAGGGCAUCCCUGGAGGUAGGUGCUUUAUUAUGCCCACUCUACAGAAGAAGAAACUGAGGCACUGUGAGGUUAAAUAACUUGCUGCUGAGUCCUUGGUCAUGGAUUCAAACCCAAGAGUCUAUUGAAUAGAUGUACCCGGUACCCUCCAGCCUCUGCAACAGGGGCACCCUCUCCGGUAGCCACAGACUGGUCUGCACAGGCUUCGGAAGUCCUGCUCUCCAAGUAGGCAGUGUCUCGGGGAGGAGAUCAUGGGGAUGAAGGCCGGGCUGGGCCAGAGAGGCUUCCGUCUCCCUGAGCCCCUGGAGGCGCCCCCUCCUCACCCUGUCUCCUGCUGUCCCUAGCCUCGCUGUCUGAGGAAGUCUUUGGUCCAUCACCUUCCUGCUGGAGGGCCCCAUCCAGGCGCUCGAACCCUGCACGGCCCAGAGAGGGCAGGGAAGAGGGUGUGAACCGCACUCUGACCUUCCAUCACGACCUCCCUUAAUACCUGUAAGAUGAUGCACCACACAAUGGGAGUGCUUCACAUUUUGGAUCUGGGAACUUUAUAAUGUUCUCUUCCUGUGGGUUCUGGAAAGUAGACCUUCAGGGUUUUUGUGUACAGUGCUGAGCUUUCCUAAGUAAUUUUCUACAGCAUUUCCCAUGUUUGUGAUGACUCUGAAAUUUCUGUGUUUUCUCUAUGUAUCUAUUUAAACGUUAAAUAGCACAUUGCUGGGGUCAUUUGUUAUAGUUGCCAUUUAAAUAUCCAUCUAUAAGACAAAGAGCUCUUUGAGGAGACAACGUUUGCAUCUUUGUGGCCCAAUGUUGACUUGGCUCAUGCUAAUAGCAAAAAGUACUGGUAACCAGAUAAUUGGAUUUAUGUGAAGUCCCACAUUAAUUCUACAGAUGGGGAGAGGAGAGAAAAGGAAUGUUAAUUUUGGCAUAGCAGAGUGAAUUUUUUGUUUUUCAGUAUUGGGGAUUGAAUCCAGGUCCUUUGCACUGAGCUACA